Molecule: ribosomal RNA, 440 nt
Filed under: uncultured bacterium
Lineage: Bacteria
Description: partial 16S ribosomal RNA
Rfam family: Bacterial small subunit ribosomal RNA
Source: RNAcentral
CCUACGGGAGGCUGCAGUGGGGAAUAUUGCACAAUGGGGGGAACCCUGAUGCAGCGACGCCGCGUGAGUGAAGAAGUAUUUCGGUAUGUAAAGCCCUAUCAGCAGGGAAGAAGAUGACGGUACCUGACUAAGAAGCCCCGGCUAACUACGUGCCAGCAGCCGCGGUAAUACGUAGGGGGCAAGCGUUAUCCGGAUUUACUGGGGGUAAAGGGAGCGUAGACGGCAGGGCAAGUCUGGAGUGAAAGCCCGGGGGCCAACCCCGGGACUGCUUUGGAAACUGCCAGGCUAGAGUGCUGGAGAGGUAAGCGGAAUGCCUAGUGUAGCGGUGAAAUGCGUAGAUAUUAGGAGGAACACCAGUGGCGAAGGCGGCGUACUGGAGAGUAACUGACGUUGAGGCUCGAAGGCGUGGGGAGCGAACAGGAUUAGAUACCCUGGUAGUC